This 285-nucleotide RNase MRP RNA is filed under the name Leptobrachium leishanense (Leishan spiny toad). Its description in RNAcentral is "RNase MRP (ENSLLEG00000021680.1)". It matches the Rfam family "RNase MRP". Rfam says of the family: RNase MRP is an enzymatically active ribonucleoprotein with two distinct roles in eukaryotes. The record is from Rfam by way of RNAcentral. Lineage: Eukaryota; Metazoa; Chordata; Amphibia; Anura; Megophryidae.
UCGCAUUCUGAAGACUUGACGUCUAGGCAACGAACUGGGAACCAUUGGAUUCUCCCUCGCAAACGCGCCUAGGGGAAAGUCCCCGGACCUCGGGCAGAGAGUGCCGCGCGCCACCCGGCGCGCAAUAAUCCCACCCAAAGCUCGCAUCCAUCCGCCGAGAAGCUCCCAGGAGCCGAGCGGGCCGAGACGGGAUGGGAUCUCUCGUCAGUGCUACAGUGACGCAGGUAGCGUGGGAGGGGUCAGCCCCCACCACGUGAACAGAACGGGGCUCAUUCUCAGAAUGCA